AAUCAAACAUAGACAAAUGGGAUUACAUUGAGCUAAAAAGCUUUUGCACAGCAAAGAAAACAAUCAGCAGAGUGAAGAGACAACCUACAGAAUUGGGGAGGGGGAGGAAUAUGCAAACUAUCCAUUUCAUAAGGGAUUAAUAACCAGAUUACAUAAAGACAUCUAACAACUCAAUAGCAAAAAGCCACAAAUAAUUUGAUUUAAAACAGGGAAAAUGAUCUGAAUAGACAUUUCACAAGAGAAGACAUACAAAUGGCCAACAAGUGUAGGAAAAAAUGUUCAACAUCAUUAAUCGUCAGGGAAACGAAAACCAAAACCUCAAUGAGAUAUUAUCUCACCUGUUAAAUGGCUACUUUCAAAAACACAAAAAGUAAUAAAUGUUGGCAAGGAUGUGGAGAAAGGGGACCACUCAUACACCGUUGCUGGGAAUAUAAAUUAGUAUAGCCACUAUGGAAAAUAGUAUGGAGGUUUCCCAAAAAUCUGAAAACACGCCUACCAUAUGAUCCAGCAAUUCCACUGCUGGGUAUAUACCCAUAAGAAAAUAAGUCAGUACAUCAAAGAGAUUUGCAUUCUCAUGUUUAUAACAGCAGUAUUCACAAUGGUCAAGAUAUGGAGUCAAUCUAAAUAUUUGUCAAUGGAUGACUGUUAAAGAAAAUGUGAUAUGUAUACACAGUGGAAUAUCAUUCCUCCACAAAAAAGGAAUAAAAUCUGUAAUUUGCAGCAACAUGAAUGGAAAUAGAGUCAUUAUGUUAAGUGAAAUAAUUCAGGCACAGAAAGACAAGUAUCACACGUUCUCACCCAAAUAGGGGAGCUAAGUUGAUCUCAAGGAGGUAGAGAGUAGAAUGAUGUUUACUAGAGGCUGAGAAGGGUAGGGAGAAGGGAGGGAUGAAUAGAGGUUGGUUAAUGGAAACAAAAAUAUAGUCACACAGAAGAAAUAAAUUCUACCAUUUGAUAGCACAGUAGGGUAACUAUAGUCAACAAUAAUUUAUUUGUAUAUUUCAAAAUAGCUAGAAUAAAUGAUUUAGAAUGUUUCCAACACAAAGAAAUGAUAAAUGUUUGAGAUGAUGAUAUCCUAAUUACCCUGAUUUCAUCAUUACACAUUGUAUGAAAAUGUGUCAAAAUAUCACAUAUAUCCCUAAAUAGAUACAAUGAUUAUGUAUCAAUAAAAAUUAAAAUUAGAAAAAAGCAGAAGAGGAAGGCAGAAGAGCCCUUCAGAAGUAUGUGGAGGAGAAGGUGAAGCAGGAGAGAUAAGGUAGAAAAGGAGAGCAGAGCAGAGAGAAGUGUUAGAAGAACUCUACCUACCAUUUCUAUGCAGGCAGACUCUAGUAGCUGGGAAUGACCCCCAGGCAAUAGCCAGCAAGGAAACAGGGACUUCCGUCCUUCCAUUGCAUACAGCUGAAUUCUGCCAAUAUCUUUUUCUUUUCUUUUUUUCUUUUUUUGAGACGGAGUCUCGCUCUGUUGCCCAGGCUGGAGUGCAGUGGCGCAAUCUCAGCUCACUGCAAGCUCUGCCUCCCAGGUUCAUGCCAUUCUCCUGCCUCAGCCUCCCAAGUAGCUGGGACUACAGGCGCCCGCCACCACGCCUGGCUAAUUUUUUUGUAUUUUUAGUAGAGAUGGGGUUUCACUGUGUUAGCCAGGAUGGUCUCCAUCUCCUGACCUCAUGAUCCGCUAACCUCGGCCUCCCAAAGUGCUGGGAUUACAGGCGUGAGCCACUGCGCCCGGCCUGAUCCAUGAAAAUUGAGAGAGAAUAAAUGGGUGUUUUAAACAAAAGAAAAUAAAAAUUCUUUAUAUAAAAAGCC
RNAcentral lists this long non-coding RNA (1796 nucleotides) under Homo sapiens (human). Its description in RNAcentral is "non-protein coding lnc-TMEM64-4:1". The record is from RNAcentral. Lineage: Eukaryota; Metazoa; Chordata; Mammalia; Primates; Hominidae.